UACGAAGGUGGCAAGCGUUUGUUCGGAUUUACUGGGCGUAAAGGGAGCGUAGGUGGUUAGGUAAGCCCUCCGGGAAAUCUUCAGGCUUAACCUGAAAAGGUCGGGGGGGACUGCCUGGCUAGAGGACGGGAGAGGAGCGCGGAAUUCCCGGUGUAGCGGUGAAAUGCGUAGAUAUUGGGAGGAACACCAGUGGCGAAGGCGGCUCACUGGACCGGUACUGACGCUGAUGCGCGAAAGCGUGGGGAGCAAACGGG
Molecule: ribosomal RNA, 254 nt
Filed under: uncultured bacterium
Lineage: Bacteria
Description: partial 16S ribosomal RNA
Rfam family: Bacterial small subunit ribosomal RNA
Source: RNAcentral